AGCCCUAAGUGGGUGGUAAACUCCAUCUAAGGCUAAAUAUGACCACGAGACCGAUAGCGAACAAGUACCGUGAGGGAAAGUUGAAAAGCACUUUGAAGAGAGAGUUCAAGAGUACGUGAAACCGUUUAGGGGUAAACCUGAGAAACCCGAAAGGUCGAAGGGAGAAAUUCAUUCGUGUCUCGCCGCAGGCGUGGGACGGUCGAGUGACGGAGGGCGUUCGCGCCCUACGCGCCUUCUGUUCUUCGAACCGGUGGCGAACCCGUGCACUUUUCUCCUGGUAGGACGUCGUGAUCCGUUGGGCGUCGGUCUACGGCUCGUGGUGGAGCCCGUCCGUUUUUUUACGGGCGGACCCGCGUGUCCCGGCCGACUCGCUCGACGGUAUACGAAAGGUUUAAGGCCGCUCUGGGAGCGUUCGGCUCGUGGCAAGCGCGCCAGAUGUGUCGGCCAUCGGACCUGGUGCCGAUUCUGACCUCUGGUGACUGUUGGCCGCGAAGUUCUCGAACAGACCUUUGACCGAUCUGCGACGCUAUAGCUUUGGGUACUUUCAG
This 548-nucleotide ribosomal RNA is filed under the name Otibazo polyphemus. Its description in RNAcentral is "eukaryotic LSU rRNA". It matches the Rfam family "Eukaryotic large subunit ribosomal RNA", at positions 284 to 645 of the family's 3401-position model. The record is from RNAcentral. Lineage: Eukaryota; Metazoa; Arthropoda; Insecta; Coleoptera; Curculionidae.